RNAcentral lists this transfer RNA (72 nucleotides) under Vallisneria natans. Its description in RNAcentral is "tRNA-Gln". It matches the Rfam family "tRNA". Rfam says of the family: Transfer RNA (tRNA) molecules are approximately 80 nucleotides in length. Their secondary structure includes four short double-helical elements and three loops (D, anti-codon, and T loops). RNAcentral also lists the same sequence under 1 other name. Lineage: Eukaryota; Viridiplantae; Streptophyta; Magnoliopsida; Alismatales; Hydrocharitaceae. The record is from RNAcentral.
UGGGGCGUGGCCAAGAGGUAAGGCAACGGGUUUUGGUCCUGUAAUUCAAAGGUUCGAAUCCUUUCGUCCCAG